RNAcentral lists this long non-coding RNA (728 nucleotides) under Anser brachyrhynchus (Pink-footed goose). RNAcentral's name for it is "lncRNA (ENSABRG00000021609.1)". Lineage: Eukaryota; Metazoa; Chordata; Aves; Anseriformes; Anatidae. The record is from RNAcentral.
CAAAUCUCAGCCCCAGAUUCAAGCCUGUAGUGGAUUUGGCAGCAUUUUAUAUUGUUUGUUUAUUAGGGCACAAGGAGUCACAUUCAUCCAUGCAUUUUUUAAAUGUUUUAUUUUAAAUCAGUUAAAACUCCAGGGGUUCAAUUCAUUACCACUUCUUCUCCAAACCGCGGGGCAAUCCAGUGCAGCACAAUCAUCCGUGCCAGUAACUGAGCAGGGAAUGCAACCCAAUAGCUGGAGCUGCUUCUUGGUCAUGGAAAGGAGAGGAGAGAAAGGGACAAGAACCACUGUGAACCCUUCUCCUCUUGUGCCAGUUGUUUGUUUCUUCCAAGUAAUAAAUAACCUUUGAAAUACUCUUUUAGCAAUGGAUUAAAUAGUGUAGCGAGUGGCAAUCUGGGCUGCAGUUUCCCAUGCCUGACUUUGAUCUUCUAAAUAUGGUGGGUGUAUAGAAUUGCCUAAUUUCCCUUAUUUCUUCCAAUAUUCUAUGCUACUUUCUAGAUUUGCCGUUGAGUGAUGUUCCCAAGUAAUCAUAGCACCGAGCAAAUGCCUGCUGUGAUAUUCAACAGCCUGCACCUAGAGCAAUAAUUUUACCCUCUCCUUGCCAGCUCUUUCUUAAUGUUCACCUGCUUCCCUAUUACACGGCUGGCACUUUGCAUUAGGUUAGAAGGCAUGAUUUCAUUUUUCUACUUGGCUGCUGCUGGGGCUGCCCUGCAAGCGCCGUACUGUUCCCA